RNAcentral lists this ribosomal RNA (830 nucleotides) under uncultured bacterium. Its description in RNAcentral is "bacterial SSU rRNA". It matches the Rfam family "Bacterial small subunit ribosomal RNA", at positions 671 to 1501 of the family's 1533-position model. The record is from RNAcentral.
CGGUGUAGCGGUGAAAUGCGUAGAGAUCGGGAGGAAUACCAGUGGCGAAGGCGGCCUUCUGGACUGACACUGACGCUGAGGCGCGAAAGCGUGGGUAGCAAACAGGAUUAGAUACCCUGGUAGUCCACGCCGUAAACGAUGUCGACCAGCCGUUGGGCCCCCUGAGGGUCUGGUGGCGCAGUUAACGCAAUAAGUCGACCGCCUGGGGAGUACGGCCGCAAGGCUAAAACUCAAAUGAAUUGACGGGGGCCCGCACAAGCGGUGGAGCAUGUGGUUUAAUUCGAUGCAACGCGAAGAACCUUACCUGCCCUUGACAUCCUGCGAACCCGGAAGAGAUUCCGGGGUGCCUUCGGGAACGCAGAGACAGGUGCUGCAUGGCUGUCGUCAGCUCGUGUUGUGAAAUGUUGGGUUAAGUCCCGUAACGAGCGCAACCCCUAUCCCUUUUUGCCAGCGGUCCGGCCGGGAACUUCAGGGAGACUGCCGGUGACAAACCGGAGGAAGGUGGGGACGACGUCAAGUCAUCAUGGCCCUUACGGGCAGGGCUACACACGUGCUACAAUGGCCGGUACAAAGGGUUGCGAAGCGGCGACGUGAAGCCAAUCCCGCAAAGCCGGCCUCAGUCCGGAUCGGAGUCUGCAACUCGACUCCGUGAAGUCGGAAUCGCUAGUAAUCGUGGAUCAGAAUGCCACGGUGAAUACGUUCCCGGGCCUUGUACACACCGCCCGUCACACCAUGGGAGUGGACUGCACCAGAAGUGGUUAGCUUAACCUUCGGGAGAGCGAUCACCACGGUGUGGUUCAUGACUGGGGUGAAGUCGUAACAAGGUAACC